CGGGGGACAGGGUGACAGGUGGUGCAUGGUUGUCGUCAGCUCGUGUCGUGAGAUGUUGGGUUAAGUCCCGCAACGAGCGCAACCCUCGACCUUAGUUGCCAGCAUUCAGUUGGGCACUCUAAGGUGACUGCCGGCUAAAAGUCGGAGGAAGGUGGGGAUGACGUCAAAUCAUCAUGCCCCUUAUGACCUGGGCUACACACGUGCUACAAUGGGCGGUACAAAGGGUCGCGAACCCGCGAGGGGGAGCCAAUCCCAAAAAGCCGCUCUCAGUUCGGAUUGCAGGCUGCAACUCGCCUGCAUGAAGCCGGAAUCGCUAGUAAUCGCGGAUCAGCAUGCCCGCGGUCCGAAUACGUUCCGGGCCUU
RNAcentral lists this ribosomal RNA (363 nucleotides) under uncultured Anoxybacillus sp. Its description in RNAcentral is "bacterial SSU rRNA". It matches the Rfam family "Bacterial small subunit ribosomal RNA", at positions 1020 to 1382 of the family's 1533-position model. Lineage: Bacteria; Bacillati; Bacillota; Bacilli; Caryophanales; Anoxybacillaceae. The record is from RNAcentral.